GUGGGGAAUAUUGGACAAUUGGCGAAAGCCUGAUCCAGCCAUGCCGCGUGUGUGAAGAAGGUCUUCGGAUUGUAAAGCACUUUAAGUUGGGAGGAAGGGCAUUAACCUAAUACGUUAGUGUUUUGACGUUACCGACAGAAUAAGCACCGGCUAACUUCGUGCCAGCAGCCGCGGUAAUACGAAGGGUGCAAGCGUUAAUCGGAAUUACUGGGCGUAAAGCGCGCGUAGGUGGUUCGUUAAGUUGGAUGUGAAAGCCCCGGGCUCAACCUGGGAACUGCAUCCAAAACUGGCGAGCUAGAGUACGGUAGAGGGUGGUGGAAUUUCCUGUGUAGCGGUGAAAUGCGUAGAUAUAGGAAGGAACACCAGUGGCGAAGGCGACCACCUGGACUGAUACUGACACUGAGGUGCGAAAGCGUGGGAGCAAACAGGAUUAGAUACCCCAGUAGUCC
RNAcentral lists this ribosomal RNA (449 nucleotides) under uncultured bacterium. RNAcentral's name for it is "partial 16S ribosomal RNA". It matches the Rfam family "Bacterial small subunit ribosomal RNA", at positions 354 to 796 of the family's 1533-position model. The record is from RNAcentral.